CCUACGGGUGGCAGCAGUGAGGAAUAUUGGUCAAUGGACGAGAGUCUGAACCAGCCAAGUAGCGUGAAGGAUGACUGCCCUAUGGGUUGUAAACUUCUUUUAUAAAGGAAUAAAACGAGGCACGUGUGCCUUUUUGCAUGUACUUCAUGAAUAAGGAUCGGCUAAUUCCGUGCCAGCAGCCGCGGUAAUACGGAGGAUCCGAGCGUUAUCCGGAUUUAUUGGGUUUAAAGGGAGCGUAGAUGGGUUGUUAAGUCAGAUGUGAAAGUUUGCGGCUCAACCGUAAAAUUGCAAUUGAUACUGGCAGGCUUGAGUGCAGUGGAGGUAGGCGGAAUUCGUGGUGUAGCGGUGAAAUGCUUAGAUAUCACGAAGAACCCCGAUUGCGAAGGCAGCUUACGGAACUGUGACUGACAUUGAUGCUCGAAAGUGUGGGUAUCAAACAGGAUUAGAUACCCUUGUAGUC
Molecule: ribosomal RNA, 460 nt
Filed under: uncultured bacterium
Lineage: Bacteria
Description: partial 16S ribosomal RNA
Rfam family: Bacterial small subunit ribosomal RNA
Source: RNAcentral